GACGAAGGAUGCAAGCGUUAUCCGGAUUCAUUGGGUUUAAAGGGUGCGUAGGCGGACUGAUAAGUCAGUGGUGAAAUCUCUCAUCUUAACUGAGAAACUGCCAUUGAUACUGUCAGUCUAGAGUAUAGAUGACGUUGGCGGAAUAUGACAUGUAGUGGUGAAAUACUUAGAUAUGUCAUAGAACACCGAUUGCGAAGGCAGCUAACGAAACUAUAACUGACGCUGAGGCACGAAAGUGCGGGGAUCAAACAGG
RNAcentral lists this ribosomal RNA (253 nucleotides) under uncultured bacterium. Its description in RNAcentral is "partial 16S ribosomal RNA". It matches the Rfam family "Bacterial small subunit ribosomal RNA", at positions 524 to 776 of the family's 1533-position model. The record is from RNAcentral.